GCUGAGUGUGGUGGUGCACACCUGUAAUCCCAGCAACUUGGGAUGCUGAUGCAGGAGAAUUGAAAAUUCAAGUCCAGCUGCGACAACUUAGCAAGGCCCUGAGCAACUUAGCAAGAUCCUGUCUCAA
This 127-nucleotide small RNA is filed under the name Marmota monax (woodchuck). Lineage: Eukaryota; Metazoa; Chordata; Mammalia; Rodentia; Sciuridae. The record is from RNAcentral.